Molecule: ribosomal RNA, 800 nt
Filed under: Sphingobacterium sp. F050
Lineage: Bacteria; Pseudomonadati; Bacteroidota; Sphingobacteriia; Sphingobacteriales; Sphingobacteriaceae
Description: bacterial SSU rRNA
Rfam family: Bacterial small subunit ribosomal RNA
Source: RNAcentral
GGGGCAAGCGUCGGGCUAAUACAUGCAAGUCGGACGGGAUCCAUCGGAGAGCUUGCUCGAAGAUGGUGAGAGUGGCGCACGGGUGCGUAACGCGUGAGCAACCUACCUCUAUCAGGGGGAUAGCCUCUCGAAAGAGAGAUUAACACCGCAUAACAUCAACAGUUCGCAUGUUCGGUUGAUUAAAUAUUUAUAGGAUAGAGAUGGGCUCGCGUGACAUUAGCUAGUUGGUAGGGUAACGGCCUACCAAGGCGACGAUGUCUAGGGGCUCUGAGAGGAGAAUCCCCCACACUGGUACUGAGACACGGACCAGACUCCUACGGGAGGCAGCAGUAAGGAAUAUUGGUCAAUGGGCGGAAGCCUGAACCAGCCAUGCCGCGUGCAGGAUGACUGCCCUAUGGGUUGUAAACUGCUUUUGUCCAGGAAUAAACCUAAAUACGUGUAUUUAGCUGAAUGUACUGGAAGAAUAAGGAUCGGCUAACUCCGUGCCAGCAGCCGCGGUAAUACGGAGGAUCCGAGCGUUAUCCGGAUUUAUUGGGUUUAAAGGGUGCGUAGGCGGCCUAUUAAGUCAGGGGUGAAAUACGGUGGCUCAACCAUCGCAGUGCCUUUGAUACUGAUGGGCUUGAAUCCAUUUGAAGUGGGCGGAAUAAGACAAGUAGCGGUGAAAUGCAUAGAUAUGUCUUAGAACUCCGAUUGCGAAGGCAGCUCACUAAGCUGGUAUUGACGCUGAUGCACGAAAGCGUGGGGAUCGAACAGGAUUAGAUACCCUGGUAGUCCACGCCCUAAACGAUGAUAACUCGAUG